GCCAAGUGUGGGGGCCCACACCUGUAAUCCCUGUGGCUUGGGAGGCCGAGGCAGGAGGAUCGCGAGUUCAAAGCCAGCCUCAGCAAUUUAGUGAGGCCCUAGGCGACUUAGCAAGACCCUGUCUCGA
RNAcentral lists this small RNA (127 nucleotides) under Marmota monax (woodchuck). Lineage: Eukaryota; Metazoa; Chordata; Mammalia; Rodentia; Sciuridae. The record is from RNAcentral.